Molecule: non-coding RNA, 54 nt
Organism: Salmo salar (Atlantic salmon)
Lineage: Eukaryota; Metazoa; Chordata; Actinopteri; Salmoniformes; Salmonidae
Source: Rfam
UCCGCUCAAUACUGCAAGUCGCUCUUGAUAAGAGCGUCUGCUAAAUGACUAAAA